CCUACGGGCGGCAGCAGUGAGGAAUAUUGGUCAAUGGGCGCAAGCCUGAACCAGCCAAGUCGCGUGAGGGAUGACGGUCCUAUGGAUUGUAAACCUCUUUUGUCGGGGAGCAAGGCCCGCCACGUGUGGCGUGAAGGAGAGUACCCGAAGAAAAAGCAUCGGCUAACUCCGGGCCAGCAGCCGCGGUCAUACGGAGGAUGCGAGCGUUAUCCGGAUUUAUUGGGUUUAAAGGGUGCGUAGGCGGAAGGUUAAGUCAGCGGUCAAAUGUCGGUGCGCAACACCGGCCUGCCGUUGAAACUGGUCUGCUUGAGUGAGCGAGAAGUAUGCGGAAUGCGUGGUGUAGCGGUGAAAUGCAGAGAUAUCACGCAGAACUCCGAUUGCGAAGGCAGCAUACCGGCGCUCAACUGACGCUGAGGCACGAAAGCGUGGGGAUCGAACAGGAUUAGAUACCCGAGUAGUC
This 460-nucleotide ribosomal RNA is filed under the name uncultured bacterium. Its description in RNAcentral is "partial 16S ribosomal RNA". It matches the Rfam family "Bacterial small subunit ribosomal RNA", at positions 338 to 795 of the family's 1533-position model. The record is from RNAcentral.